Long non-coding RNA from Bubalus bubalis (water buffalo), 1888 nucleotides. RefSeq lists it as uncharacterized. The transcript has 3 exons. The record is from RefSeq and is a predicted model, not a curated record. Lineage: Eukaryota; Metazoa; Chordata; Mammalia; Artiodactyla; Bovidae.
AUCAGGAACUAGGCUUUUUCCAGUCUGUGCUUUAAUGGUUCAAUGUCUAGAGUUACACUGAGUUGGCUGGAUGGUGAUUAACACUGUUGUGGGUAUAGCUGGCCCUUCUGACUUCUCUAAUGGGCUUCCAGAUUAUGCCAUUUAUUAAUUAAAUUAGAUCAGCCUGAUGAUUUUAUCUCUAGAUUGUCUUUUAGUGGUGAGUACCAUCUCUGAUAGGAAAACUUGAAAGCUUUCAGAUUUUACUUGGCGAUAGUUGGCUGCAUUUCCCCUAGCUCCUUUGUCAUUAGGGCUAGGAACUGGAAUUCCUCAAUACCAGGGAGAGGAAGAGAAAUAAAGUUUAAGAAUCAAAGGUAAAUGACAUUUUGUAUUUUCAACUUCCCAGAAGAUUCACAACGCUUUUCAAGGAUUCCUCAUGCCUUGACCUCAGGUUGGAGCAUCCUUACUUUUACUCACCUGUUUGGUUUCUUCCUUAAAAUGAACUCCUAGAACUGGAAUUGCUGGGUCAAAGGCCAGUUGCAGCACUCUUGUCUCGCUUUGGAAUGAGCGUUGUCUUAUCCUGAACUAUGUUACUCCAAAGACAGGGAGAGAUGAAACAGGAGAGAAUCGUUAACUGGGAAAUGCAGAAGUGGAAAUAAGUAGCAAGCAGAAUGAGCAGAGACAACAAAGAUGGCUUGGAGACUUUGAUAAUGAGAGUGUCCUCUGGCAGGCACCCACUCUCCACGCUGAUGGACCAUCCCCAAAUUCCCAGAAGACUGUGGUAGACAGAGGAGUACUGCCGCCUCCUGCCCCCAUCCAUGUCUAAUCCCCAGAACCAGUGAACAUGAUAUUUUACAUGGCGAAGGGGACUUUGCAGAUGUCAUCAAAUUAAGGAUCCUCAGAUGGGAAAGUUUAUCCUGGAUAAUCUUAGAGGGCCCAGUGCAAUCACAAGGAUCUUUUUUAAGUCAAAGAGGAAGACAGGAGAGUCAGAAGCCAAGAAGCAGAGAUCAGAGUGAUGCGGUUGCUGGCCGGGGGCCACAGGCCAAGGCUUGCGGAUGCCUCUGGAAGCUGGAAAGGGCAAGGACACAUUCUCCCUUUGAGCUUCUAGAAGGAACACAGCUCAACCAACAACUUGGUGUGAACCCUCUAACACUGUUUCCCACUUCUGAUCUCCUGAACUGUAAGACAAUACAUUUGUAUUGUGUCAAGCCAAUAAGUUUGUGGCUUGAACAAAUUUAGAACAGCUCAGGGGAACCUGCCGAAGGACCUCCCACCUAAACUUCUCCCUAUAGUCCGCAAGGAGGAAGUGCAUGGUGAGAGAUGCCAGUCACAAUUGGCUCGUGAAGAUCCAAGGAUGACGUUUUCUCUAUUUUGGGAGCCUGGUUCUGCCUUACGUGGUUAGCUUUUCUUCUUAUUUUCUCUUUCGUUUUUAAUAAAAGACAUUAGAAAAAAAAACACAGAAGAUAAGAGAGAGUAUAGGUACAUAAACAUGUUACUUUGUAGGAGAAAUCUGUCAGCACUUUUUAACACAUUAAAAAAAAUAUUGAAAUAUAGUCGCUUUACAAUGUUGUGUUUUAGGUAUACAGCAAAGUGACUUGUUUAUAUGUAUAUAUAUUCUCUUUUUUACAUUCUCUUCCAUUGUAGGUUGUUACACGACAUUGUGUAUAGUUCCCUGUGCUGUACAAUAGGUUCCUGUUGCUUAUAUACUUUAUAUGUAGUGGUGUGUAUCUGUUAACCCUGAACUCCUAAUUUACGUGCUUCCAUUCCUUUUGGUAACCAUAAGUUUGUUUUCUGUGUCUGAGUCUAUUUCUGUUUCAUAAAUAAUUUCAUUUGUAUCAUUGUUCUAGAUGCCACAUACAAGCGAUAACGUGUGGUAUUUGUCUCUGGCUUACUUCACUUAGUAUGACAACCU